Mastomys coucha (southern multimammate mouse) is the source of this 458-nucleotide long non-coding RNA. RefSeq lists it as uncharacterized. The record is from RefSeq and is a predicted model, not a curated record. NCBI's taxonomy places the organism in Eukaryota, Metazoa, Chordata, Mammalia, Rodentia, Muridae. The transcript has 2 exons.
CAUGCUCCCAUCUUGAUGAUAAUGCACGGAACCUCUGAGCCUGACUCCCACAGAGAUCCCACCUGGUACACCUCAAAGAAGGUAGCUGGCAGAGCCAUUCUUACAGCCAACCCUGACCUGGGUUACCCUCAGAAGCUACUGGCCACUACUGGGGCCACCCCAUGAGGAGGGUUAAGAAGACCACUAGGAGAACAGAGUGAUCCACAAAAUGAUUGGCAGGAGCCAGAACAUCUUCUCGAAUGGCCAGCCUGCUUUUUAUUUAAAGAAUGCAGACAGAAAAUAAAGUACCUGAGCAAUCUAAGUGAUUGCCGUGCAUUAAAAUGGAACAGAAGAUGGCAAAACUUAUUAAAUAUUACUACUGGAAUCUUCAGUGAAAUUGGAGAAGUUUGGGACUGCAGGAUAAGAUCAGCAAUAGAUCAAGAAUGAAACAGAGCUCAGGAAUAAAACAAAUGAAGAAA